This 463-nucleotide ribosomal RNA is filed under the name uncultured bacterium. RNAcentral's name for it is "partial 16S ribosomal RNA". It matches the Rfam family "Bacterial small subunit ribosomal RNA", at positions 28 to 507 of the family's 1533-position model. The record is from RNAcentral.
GAUGAACGCUGACAGAAUGCUUAACACAUGCAAGUCUUUGGCGAAUCUGUGCUUGCACAGGCUAGCCAAGGCGGACGGGUGAGUAACGCGUAAAGAACUUGCCCUGCAGACAGGGAUAACAGACGGAAACGACUGAUAACACCUGAUACAGUUGCCGGCACGCAUGUGCCUGGCAAUGAAAAGAGAUGCUGCAGGAGAGCUUUGCGUCCUAUUAGCUUGUUGGUGAGGUGACGGCUCACCAAGGCGAUGAUAGGUAGCCGGCCUGAGAGGGUGAACGGCCACAAGGGGACUGAGAUACGGCCCUUACUCCUACGGGAGGCAGCAGUGGGGAAUAUUGGACAAUGGGGGCAACCCUGAUCCAGCAAUUCUGUGUGCACGAAGAAGGUUUUCGGAUUGUAAAGUGCUUUCAGCAGGGAGGAAGAAAGUGACGGUACCUGCAGAAGAAGCGACGGCUAAAUACGUG